Molecule: ribosomal RNA, 277 nt
Filed under: uncultured bacterium
Lineage: Bacteria
Description: partial 16S ribosomal RNA
Rfam family: Bacterial small subunit ribosomal RNA
Source: RNAcentral
UUGCUUCUUUGCUGGCGACCGGCGCACGGGUGAGUAACACGUAUCCAACCUGCCCUUUACUCGGGGAUAGCCUUUCGAAAGAAAGAUUAAUACCCGAUAGUAUAAUGAUUCCGCAUGGUUUCAUUAUUAAAGGAUUCCGGUAAAGGAUGGGGAUGCGUUCCAUUAGGUUGUUGGUGAGGUAACGGCUCACCAAGCCUUCGAUGGAUAGGGGUUCUGAGAGGAAGGUCCCCCACAUUGGAACUGAGACACGGUCCAAACUCCUACGGGAGGCAGCAUG